RNAcentral lists this ribosomal RNA (491 nucleotides) under uncultured bacterium. Its description in RNAcentral is "partial 16S ribosomal RNA". It matches the Rfam family "Bacterial small subunit ribosomal RNA", at positions 29 to 506 of the family's 1533-position model. The record is from RNAcentral.
AGUGAACGCUGGCGGUAGGCCUAACACAUGCAAGUCGAACGGCAGCACAGUAAGAGCUUGCUCUUACGGGUGGCGAGUGGCGGACGGGUGAGGAAUACAUCGGAAUCUACUUUUUCGUGGGGGAUAACGUAGGGAAACUUACGCUAAUACCGCAUACGACCUACGGGUGAAAGCAGGGGAUCUUCGGACCUUGCGCGAUUGAAUGAGCCGAUGUCGGAUUAGCUAGUUGGCGGGGUAAAGGCCCACCAAGGCGACGAUCCGUAGCUGGUCUGAGAGGAUGAUCAGCCACACUGGAACUGAGACACGGUCCAGACUCCUACGGGAGGCAGCAGUGGGGAAUAUUGGACAAUGGGCGCAAGCCUGAUCCAGCUAUACCGCGUGGGUGAAGAAGGCCUUCGGGUUGUAAAGCCCUUUUGUUGGGAAAGAAAAGCAGCAGGUUAAUACCCCGCUGUUCUGACGGUACCCAAAGAAUAAACACCGGCUAACUUCGU